RNAcentral lists this ribosomal RNA (161 nucleotides) under uncultured bacterium. RNAcentral describes it as "partial 16S ribosomal RNA". It matches the Rfam family "Bacterial small subunit ribosomal RNA", at positions 355 to 507 of the family's 1533-position model. The record is from RNAcentral.
UGGGGAAUUGUUCGCAAUGGGCGCAAGCCUGACGACGCAACGCCGCGUGGAGGACGAAGAUUUUCGGAUCGUAAACUCCUUUCGAUCGGAAAGAAUAGCUUUCGGGUUAACAGCCUGAGAGUCUGACGGUACCGAGAGAAGAAGCCCCGGCUAACUCCGUG